UUUCCAGAGGAAGGCUCGUCCGCUCUGGGUUAGUCGGGUCCUAAGCUGAGGCCGACAGGCGUAGGCGAUGGAUAACAGGUUGAUAUUCCUGUACCACCUAUAAUCGUUUUAAUCGAUGGGGGGACGCAGUAGGAUAGGCGAAGCGUGCGAUUGGAUUGCACGUCUAAGCAGUAAGGCUGAGUAUUAGGCAAAUCCGGUACUCGUUAAGGCUGAGCUGUGAUGGGGAGAAGACAUUGUGUCUUCGAGUCGUUGAUUUCACACUGCCGAGAAAAGCCUCUAGAUAGAAAAUAGGUGCCCGUACCGCAAACCGACACAGGUAGUCAAGAUGAGAAUUCUAAGGUGAGCGAGCGAACUCUCGUUAAGGAACUCGGCAAAAUGACCCCGUAACUUCGGGAGAAGGGGUGCUCUUUAGGGUUAACGCCCAGAAGAGCCGCAGUGAAUAGGCCCAAGCGACUGUUUAUCAAAAACACAGGUCUCUGCUAAACCGUAAGGUGAUGUAUAGGGGCUGACGCCUGCCCGGUGCUGGAAGGUUAAGAGGAGUGGUUAGCUUCUGCGAAGCUACGAAUCGAAGCCCCAGUAAACGGCGGCCGUAACUAUAACGGUCCUAAGGUAGCGAAAUUCCUUGUCGGGUAAGUUCCGACCCGCACGAAAGGCGUAACGAUUUGGGCACUGUCUCAACGAGAGACUCGGUGAAAUCAUAGUACCUGUGAAGAUGCAGGUUACCCGCGACAGGACGGAAAGACCCCGUGGAGCUUUACUGUAGCC
RNAcentral lists this ribosomal RNA (765 nucleotides) under Staphylococcus aureus. RNAcentral's name for it is "partial 23S ribosomal RNA". It matches the Rfam family "Bacterial large subunit ribosomal RNA", at positions 1351 to 2111 of the family's 2925-position model. Lineage: Bacteria; Bacillati; Bacillota; Bacilli; Caryophanales; Staphylococcaceae. The record is from RNAcentral.